GCAUGUUACGGAUUGCUUGACAGAAACUGUUUUCAUCAUUUUAUUUUUGUCAAUAAUUUUUCAGUUGGGAGGCACUCUCGAAGAGGUGUAAAACAAAGAGAUUACGACCCUAUGGAUUUACAUAUGGCCGUUGAAGCUGUCACAAAUGGUUUAAUGAACCCGAGUACAGCAGCUGCUACUUUCAAAGUACCAAGAGCUACCAUAUAUCUCCGGAUUAAAAACACUGCAAGAAGCUUUGACAAUGGAACUAGAUAGAAAUGUUCUCUUAUUUUUGGAUGGUCG
RNAcentral lists this long non-coding RNA (282 nucleotides) under Mytilus galloprovincialis (Mediterranean mussel). Lineage: Eukaryota; Metazoa; Mollusca; Bivalvia; Mytilida; Mytilidae. The record is from RNAcentral.